RNAcentral lists this ribosomal RNA (433 nucleotides) under uncultured bacterium. RNAcentral's name for it is "partial 16S ribosomal RNA". It matches the Rfam family "Bacterial small subunit ribosomal RNA", at positions 29 to 507 of the family's 1533-position model. The record is from RNAcentral.
AACGAACGCUGGCGGCAUGCCUAACACAUGCAAGUCGAACGAGACCUUCGGGUCUAGUGGCGCACGGGUGCGUAACGCGUUGGAACCUGCCCUUAGGUUCGGAAUAACUCCCCGACAGGGGUGCUAAUACCGGAUAAUGUCUUCGGACCAAAGAUUUAUCGCCGUUGGAUGGGCCCGCGUUGGAUUAGCUAGUUGGUAGGGUAAAAGCCUACCAAGGCGACGAUCCAUAGCUGGUCUGAGAGGAUGAUCAGCCACACUGGGACUGAGACACGGCCCAGACUCCUACGGGAGGCAGCAGUGGGGAAUAUUGGACAAUGGGCGAAAGCCUGAUCCAGCAAUGCCGCGUGAGUGAUGAAGGCCUUAGGGUUGUAAAGCUCUUUUACACGGGAUGAUAAUGACAGUACCGGGAGAAUAAGCCCCGGCUAACUCCGUG